UAGGGAAUCUUCCGCAAUGGGCGAAAGCCUGACGGAGCACCGCCGCGUGAGUGAUGAAGGUCUUCGGAUCGUAAAACUCUGUUAUUAGGGAAGAACAAAUGUGUAAGUAACUAUGCACGUCUUGACGGUAUCUAAUCAGAAAGCCACGGCUAACUACGUGCCAGCAGCCGCGGUAAUACGCAGGUGGCAAGCGUUAUCCGGAAUCAUUGGGCGUAAAGCGCGCGUAGGCGGCUUUUUAAGUCUGAUGUGAAAGCCCACGGCUCAACCGUGGUGGGUCAUUGGAAACUGGAAAUCUUGAGUGCAGAAGAGGAAAGUGGAAUUCCAUGUGUAGCGGUGAAAUGCGCAGAGAUAUGGGGGAACACCAGUGGCGAAGGCGACAUUCUGGGCUGUAGCAGGCGCUGAUGUGCGAGAGCGUGGGGAUCAAACAGG
This 429-nucleotide ribosomal RNA is filed under the name Actinomycetes bacterium. RNAcentral's name for it is "Actinobacteria bacterium partial 16S ribosomal RNA". It matches the Rfam family "Bacterial small subunit ribosomal RNA", at positions 355 to 776 of the family's 1533-position model. Lineage: Bacteria; Bacillati; Actinomycetota; Actinomycetes. The record is from RNAcentral.